Hevea brasiliensis (rubber tree) is the source of this 1148-nucleotide long non-coding RNA. RefSeq lists it as uncharacterized. NCBI's taxonomy places the organism in Eukaryota, Viridiplantae, Streptophyta, Magnoliopsida, Malpighiales, Euphorbiaceae. The record is from RefSeq and is a predicted model, not a curated record. The transcript has 2 exons.
CAAUUAUUGUUUAUUAAACAUGGAUGUUGGCUUAGCAGCUCGUCAUCUUCAGCAAUUGCCCCCAUUGCCUUCCGUGCCGAGCUUGCCACCAAUGCCAGCCAUUCCAACUCUCCCACAGCCUACUGUGCCAACCACUCAACCUUCUCUUCCUAAGCCUACUCUGCCUCCACUUCCUAGUUUGCCCAGCAUCCCUACUAUCCCAAAGGUCAGCUUGCCUUCAUUGCCAAGCAUUCCCUCCAUUCCCACAAUCCCAACUACAAUUCCUUCCAUCCCAUUCCUUUCUCCACCACCGGGAAACUAGUCCACCUCUAGGGAGGUUAGUUGAGUUGAAUUAUUCAGUUCAUUUGUUUCUGGUUUAGUUGAUGAUACGUUUAAGCAUUGUUUAUGUAUACGAGUAACUUCUUCUACUGUCCUUCCUUCUUUCUUUUUCAAGCCUGUGCUCCAAAAUUACUAUUCCAUUUUACAUUAAAAAUCGAUUGUAUUUCAGUAUGAUAUGAUGGCUGAGUUAGAAAUUUUAAUUUUUUAAUUAAAAAAAUUACAAUUGUGCUUGUCAUGGCAAUAGAAGAAAGAGUGUACCCAAAUAAAUUGCAUCUCAACAAAAGGAACUCCUGAUUAUAAAUUUCCAGAUGUUCAAAGAAAGAUUUGAUUUUUAAAAGAAAUUAAAAAUGUACACGCAUUAGCAAAACAGAGAAACUGAGAGUGAUAAACCGAUAAAGUGAGGGAGCAAAAGGAGAAGAAGAGAAAGAACGAUAAAAGUGUCGACCAAAAUCCACAUUUUCAGUGAGAAAAUCCAAGGAAUUCAAAGCCCAACAGGCAAGGAAAUAUGAAGCUUUAGUUAGUGACACUUACGUUUUCUAUUGGCUGAACUUGAAAAGUUGAGAUUUAGAUGAUGUAGCAAAGAGAUAUUCGGUCGUUUGCUAGUUUUCUUGUUUGGGAAAGUAGAAUCCUGUUGUUUCGUAUUGGAACUAUCUAUAUGUGGGCAUUUCAGAAUUUUUUAAAGGGGAAAUGGGCUGUCAAAGUUUGAAGCUCCAAUCUCCUCCAUGAAGAUGCAAGCACUCGACUAUUGAUAUACUAGCACAGUGGUUCAUAUUGUAAGGAUAAUUAAAUGCUUGAAUAAAUACAAGGAAUAAGAAUUGCUAUUGCUGUUA